UUAGGAAUUUUGCGCAAUGGGGGAAACCCUGACGCAGCCACGCCGCGUGCGGGAUGAAGGCCUUCGGGUCGUAAACCGCUUUUCUCGAGGAAGAAGCUCUGACGGUACUCGAGGAAUAAGCAACGGCUAACUACGUGCCAGCAGCCGCGGUAAUACGUAGGUUGCGAGCGUUGUCCGGAUUUACUGGGCGUAAAGCGCGCGCAGGCGGUCCUGAAAGUCGAAUGUGAAAGCUCCCGGCCCAACUGGGAGAGGCCGUUCGAAACUUCGGGACUUGAAGGCGGGAGAGGCAGAUGGAAUUUCCGGUGUAGCGGUAAAAUGCGUAGAUACCGGAAGGAACACCAGUGGCGAAAGCGAUCUGCUGGCCCGCCCUUGACGCUCAGGCGCGAAAGCCAGGGGAGCGACC
This 403-nucleotide ribosomal RNA is filed under the name uncultured bacterium. RNAcentral's name for it is "bacterial SSU rRNA". It matches the Rfam family "Bacterial small subunit ribosomal RNA", at positions 355 to 773 of the family's 1533-position model. The record is from RNAcentral.